GGGGGAGGGUCUAUGAUGGUGUUGGUAAGUCAGUUACUUCCAGGAGACUCAAGAGUGAAGACGUCUCUCUGAGCUCUACACAAUGCUCCACGUUUCUUUUAAGGUAUGUGUUAAUUGUGGUUAUAUUCACGUUAGGUGUUUAUAUGGACGUAUUUAACGAUAAGUUGACCAAUAACUGCUCCUUAUAUUGGUAAAUUACUGAAGGUAAUUGUUAAUUGAACAAUGUUGAAGUAGUUUUAUCGGUCGAAGUCUUUAUUCUAGUUAGUAUUGUAGAUAUAUUUAAUUUCUUCACUUCUCUUUACAGAUGAGAGAUGUGAUUGGUUGUUGGUGGAAGACCAUCAUCACCUCGUUCCUGUUCCAUACAUUGAGAAGUGUGGGAGGUGGAAGACCAUGGCUGGGUGUUUGACAUUGGCUGAAGGUUUUAUAUACUGGAGGUUUGGCAGUUAGGUGUGAACCACAUGAGUGGAGGUGUUGAGCCUGUAAAGCCAACAAGAGGAAUUCUUACUAUUUCGGUAAAUUUUUGCGAGAAGUUUUAUCAUGUGUUCGAUGUUAAAGCUGUUUAUAAUAAUAUGCUGUAUCAGUUUAAUGGUGAAAAUAAAUGUGGAAUAUAAUUUA
Molecule: long non-coding RNA, 615 nt
Organism: Homarus americanus (American lobster)
Lineage: Eukaryota; Metazoa; Arthropoda; Malacostraca; Decapoda; Nephropidae
Exons: 3
Source: RefSeq, a predicted model, not a curated record